RNAcentral lists this ribosomal RNA (551 nucleotides) under uncultured archaeon. RNAcentral describes it as "bacterial SSU rRNA". It matches the Rfam family "Archaeal small subunit ribosomal RNA", at positions 325 to 879 of the family's 1478-position model. The record is from RNAcentral.
UCGGGGUGCCCAGGCGCGAAAACUCCACAAUGUACGGAAGUACGAUGGGGUUAUCUCGAGUGCAGUCCGAUAAGGGCUGCUUUUCCAUAGAGUAAUAUCCUGUGGGAAUAAGAGGGGGGCAAGACUGGUGUCAGCCGCCGCGGUAACACCAGCCCCUCGAGUGGUGGGGACUAUUAUUUGGCCUAAAGCGUCCGUAGCUGGCUGUAUCCGUCCCCGUUAAAUCCAGCGUCCUAAGCGUUGGACCGCGGGUGAUACCAUACAGCUAGAGGGUGGGAUAGGUGAGCGGUAUUUCUGGGGUAGGGGCGAAAUCCUUUGAUCCCAGGAGGACCACCAGUGGCGAAGGCUGCUCACUAGAACACGCCUGACGGUCAGGGACGAAAGCUGGGGCAGCGAACCGGAUUAGAUACCCGGGUAGUCCCAGCUGUAAACGAUGCUANGCUAGGUGUUGGGUCGGCCACGCGCCGCCCCAGUGCCGCAGGGAAGCCGUUAAGCUAGCCGCCUGGGGAGUACGGCCGCAAGGCUGAAACUUAAAGGAAUUGGCGGGGGAGCAC